AGAAAUAACAAUACAGGGCUAAUGUCUUGUAAUUGGAAUGAUGGUGACCCAAACCCUCACCAGAGUAGCAAUUGGAGGGCAAGUCUGGUGCCAGCAGCCGCGGUAAUUCCAGCUCCAAUAGCGUAUAUUAAACUUGUUGCAGUUAAAAAGCUCGUAGUUGAAUUUUAGCGUGUUCGAGUUUGCCAUUCGUUUGGCUUUUUCGAGUUCGCUUUUGGGUUUUCCCUUUUUACUUUGAGAAAAUUAGAGUGUUUCAAGCAGACUUUUGUCUUGAAUACUUCAGUCAUGGAAUAA
Molecule: ribosomal RNA, 291 nt
Filed under: Babesia vogeli
Lineage: Eukaryota; Apicomplexa; Aconoidasida; Piroplasmida; Babesiidae
Description: partial 18S ribosomal RNA
Rfam family: Eukaryotic small subunit ribosomal RNA
Source: RNAcentral